This 403-nucleotide ribosomal RNA is filed under the name uncultured bacterium. RNAcentral describes it as "bacterial SSU rRNA". It matches the Rfam family "Bacterial small subunit ribosomal RNA", at positions 355 to 775 of the family's 1533-position model. The record is from RNAcentral.
UAGGGAAUAUUAGAAAUGGACGAAAGUCUGAUCUAGCAACACCGCGUGUGCGAAGAAGGCCUUUGGGUCGUAAAGCACUUUUUGGAAGGAAUAGGAAGGAAUGUACUUCCAGAAUAAGUCUCGGCUAACUACGUGCCAGCAGCCGCGGUAACACGCAGGAGGCAAGCGUUAUCCGGAUUUACUGGGCGUAAAGCGCGUGUAGGUGGUACUGUAAGUAGGGCGUGAAAGCUCCUGGCUCAACUGGGAGAGGCCGUUCUAAACUACAGAACUAGAGGAUGGUAGAGGGAGGUGGAAUUCCAGGUGUAGCGGUGGAAUGCGCAGAUAUCUGGAGGAACACCGGUGGCGAAGGCGGCCUCCUGGACCAUUCCUGACACUCAGACGCGAAAGCUAGGGUAGCAAACGG